This is a long non-coding RNA of Lontra canadensis (Northern American river otter), 708 nucleotides long. RefSeq lists it as uncharacterized. NCBI's taxonomy places the organism in Eukaryota, Metazoa, Chordata, Mammalia, Carnivora, Mustelidae. The record is from RefSeq and is a predicted model, not a curated record. The transcript is spliced from 3 exons.
CUAGGCCUGGCUCCUAAGUCCACUUGCUUUCCAUUAUUUUACCUGGUUCUUGAAGUUUUCUUAUUUCUCUGAAUAUCAGAUUUCCAUAGUGCAGUUAAACAUGAUUUGAUUGAUCAGUAUUUGGUUUCCACUUGGUUUUUUAGGAACUCAUUCAAUUACUGAUUCAUUCAGCUAAUAUUUAUUUUCGUAUCUCCCGUGUGUCAGGCACUGCUGGGCACUGAGAAUACAAGAUUAAUGAGAUGUGGCUCCUGUUCCUGAGACGCUUUCAGGGAGGGAACAGAUAUGCAAAAAACCCCAUACUUAUGAUCCAGUAUGAGAGCCAGGUUAGAGGUAAAGUAGUGCCCCUCCUGCCCCCCAUCUGUGGUUUUGCUUACAGGGUUUCAGUUCCCUAUGCUCAGCCAUGGUCUGGAAGCAGAUAAUUCUCCUGACAUACCAUAGAUGAACACUGCAUCACAAUGCCUAUGUCAUUCACUGUACUUCGUCUUAUCAUAUCGGGAUUUUAUCAUCUCGCAUCAUCACAAGAAGAAGAAGGGCAUUGCACCUAUCAGAGGAAAUGUACCAUCUGAAGAUUUAAAGCCAUUCCAGGCUGCAUGCAGCCCUUGGCACCGGCUGAAGCAUUUAUACAGAAACGUGGGUCACCUGGAUGCCCAGCCCUGUGGAUCUGGACGCUCAUUACCAAACAAGGCAUGAGCUCUCUGCAAUGCAAGC